Long non-coding RNA from Octopus bimaculoides (California two-spot octopus), 1110 nucleotides. Lineage: Eukaryota; Metazoa; Mollusca; Cephalopoda; Octopoda; Octopodidae. The record is from RefSeq and is a predicted model, not a curated record.
CUUAUUUUUAUAACGUGCUUUCAUUGCGCUAUCGAGUGCAGUUCUGUGUGCCUUGGGUAUGUGCUGUGGUUUGCUGUAUUGAAAGCGUUUUACGUAGGAUGUGUUUAGUGCCUAGUAGUGCUACUUUUUGUAGUGCUAUUUUCUCUAUGAUAUAUAAAAUUGCUUGUCCUGGUGUUUUUGUUAUGUAUUUGUCUGAAUAUUAUUAUUAUUAUUAUUAUCAUUAUUAUUAUUAUUAUUAUUAUUAUUAUUAUUAUUAUUAUUAUUAUUAUUAUUAUUAUAGAAAGGAUUGAGGUAACUCCUCCUGAAGAUAUAGAGCCAAAAUUAAACGAAGAGUGUCAUUUGUUAUCUUGUGAACAAUAUUUCCACAUCUCGCGUGUCUUCGACUGGUUCAAAAAAUAAAUUUGUCAAUCUACUUCAUUUUGAUUAAUAUAGAAAGGAUUGAGGAGCUUUUUGUCAAGUGAGUGGUGUAUGUUUGAAUAUAACAUGGCUAAAAUGGAAUGUGUUCACGCUGAAAGAGAUUUGGUAAUUGUCAUAAUGCUCGAAGAACUUCCUGUAGACGUUCUACCUUUGCAAUUAAAGCAUCAAGUCAAAAUGCAGAGUUAUAUAUGUUUUCCGACGGAGAACGCGACGACAAGUGAUGUUUUCUGGAAAAAUCUAAAAAUGUCUAUACGAGAAGGUUAAUAAGAGUAUGAUCGAUUUAAAUUAUAUGUCAAAUUUAUAACGGUAUCACUGAAAGAAUAUUUUGUAAUUUUCUUCUUUAUACGUGUGCAUCAAAAUUAUGAAUUUAUGUAUGUGUGAGAGAGACUGAAAUCUUACAGAAAAUUGCUAUACUGUUCAGUAAAUAUUUAUUACAACCUUUAACUUUAAUUAACAAAAAUCAUGUUGUUUCUUUGUAUGCAGUCACAGUCAUUUGUAUAUUUUCAACAUCAAUAUUUCGUUGAUCAUUGUAUAAUUUGUUUUAUGUGCUAAUUGCUUGCGAUUGUGUAUUAUCAAUUUAAUAUAAACACUUGUUCGUAAUUUUCUUUCUGUAAUAUAUUUGGAAUCGAGGAACCCGUUUUUGCAUUGUUUUUCCCACUUCUAAUCUGUAACAAAUAAAGAUUUUACAUUUGA